This 73-nucleotide transfer RNA is filed under the name Euphorbia larica. Its description in RNAcentral is "tRNA-Ala". Lineage: Eukaryota; Viridiplantae; Streptophyta; Magnoliopsida; Malpighiales; Euphorbiaceae. The record is from RNAcentral.
GGAACAGAAUUGACUGGGUGGUAGAGUCGUGGAAACACCGAAUCGGUAUAUCAAUACCGAUUCGAUCCGAGAU